CAAGCUGUAAAUGAUGUCUGCUAAGUGUAUCGUUGAAUAUACGAUGUGCUGGAACCUAACGGGUUAAGCAGACCGCCUGGGUAGUAUACUCGCAAGAGCGAAACUCAAAGGGAUAGGCGGGGGAGCACACAAGCGGUGGAUUGUCUCGAUUAAUUGGAUAGUAAGCCAUAAAUCUUACCCAGACUUGACAUGCAUUGUGUCGUAGGGUAAUGCCUACUAAUAUAGCAAUAUAUACUUUGCACAGAUGG
RNAcentral lists this ribosomal RNA (248 nucleotides) under uncultured bacterium. Its description in RNAcentral is "partial 16S ribosomal RNA". It matches the Rfam family "Bacterial small subunit ribosomal RNA", at positions 796 to 1041 of the family's 1533-position model. The record is from RNAcentral.